RNAcentral lists this ribosomal RNA (253 nucleotides) under uncultured prokaryote. Its description in RNAcentral is "partial 16S ribosomal RNA". It matches the Rfam family "Bacterial small subunit ribosomal RNA", at positions 524 to 776 of the family's 1533-position model. The record is from RNAcentral.
GACGAACCGUGCGAACGUUGUUCGGAUUCACUGGGCUUAAAGGGCGCGUAGGCGGGCAUUCGAGUCAGGGGUGAAAUCUUUCGGCCCAACCGGAAAAGUGCCUCUGAUACCGGGUGCCUCGAGUGAGGUAGGGGCGUGUGGAACUUCCGGUGGAGCGGUGAAAUGCGUAGAUAUCGGAAGGAACGCCGGUGGCGAAAGCGACGCGCUGGACCUCAACUGACGCUGAGGCGCGAAAGCCAGGGGAGCAAACGGG